This 253-nucleotide ribosomal RNA is filed under the name uncultured bacterium. RNAcentral's name for it is "partial 16S ribosomal RNA". It matches the Rfam family "Bacterial small subunit ribosomal RNA", at positions 524 to 776 of the family's 1533-position model. The record is from RNAcentral.
UACGUAGGGGGCGAGCGUUGUCCGGAAUUAUUGGGCGUAAAGAGCGUGUAGGCGGUUCGGUAAGUCUGCCGUGAAAACCUGGGGCUCAACCCCGGGCGUGCGGUGGAUACUGCCGGGCUAGAGGGUGGUAGAGGCGAGUGGAAUUCCCGGUGUAGCGGUGAAAUGCGCAGAUAUCGGGAGGAACACCAGUAGCGAAGGCGGCGCGCUGGGCCAUUCCUGACGCUGAGACGCGAAAGCUAGGGGAGCGAACAGG